UUGGCUCAGGAUGAACGCUGGCGGCGCACAUAAGACAUGCAAGCCGAACGAACUUAAUCGAAAGUUUACUUUUGAAGCGGUUAGUGGCGGACUGGUGAGUAACGCGUAAGCAAUCUGCCUAAAAGAGGGGGAUAACAGUGAGAAAUUACUGCUAAUACCGCAUAAGCUGUGAAUAGCACAUGCUAAGAACAGAAAAGGAGCAAUCCACUUUUAGAUGAGCUUGCGUCUGAUUAGCUAGUUGGUAAGGUAACGGCCUACCAAGGCAAUGAUCAGUAGCCGGACUGAGAGGUUAAACGGCCACAUUGGGACUGAGAUACGGCCCAGACUCCUACGGGAGGCAGCAGUGGGGAAUA
This 353-nucleotide ribosomal RNA is filed under the name uncultured rumen bacterium clone 37. RNAcentral's name for it is "bacterial SSU rRNA". It matches the Rfam family "Bacterial small subunit ribosomal RNA", at positions 19 to 363 of the family's 1533-position model. The record is from RNAcentral.